UCUGAGAGGUUUUGAUCAAUAACCAGAAAACUAUUCAAUUUUUCCUCCCAAACUUGCGACACUUGUUUAAGCUUUAACCUCUCUUCCCAUUAAUUCUUUCAAAUUCUAAAUUCCUUUUCUUCUUUCCUUUCCAUUCAACUCUUCUUCUCAUUCUCAUUCUCAUUCUCAUUCGUUCAUGUUACACAUGGGGGCUACGAAGCAUGGGCCAGCUUGGACAUUCUUCACUCCAGUAUGGAGAUAAAGAGUUAUUGCCAAGAAGGGUGGUUUCCCUUGAUGGUAUUUUCAUAAAGGAUUUGGUGUGUGGCGGUGUACACACAUCUGCUCUGACUCAGGAAGGGGCACUUUACGCUCGGAGUGGCGGUCAAUCCGGGCAAUUAGGCCUUGGCCCCCAAACUGGGUUGUUCUCGUUCGUCACUAAUAACUCUCGUACAUUUUUCCGGAACAUCCCAGUUUUGGUUGUUCCAAAAGGUGUGAAGCUUGUCGCCUAUGGACAUUCCCACACGCUUAUUUCAAUGAGGGAUGGUAAAAUUCAUGGAUGGGGUUACAAUAGUUACGGUCAGGUAGCCAACGAGAAAUCUACAUAUGCUUGGUACCUGUCACCUGUUGACUGGUGUGUUGGGGAGGUCCGAAAACUAGCUGCUGGUGGGGUCAUUCAUCUGUAUUGACUAAUGCUUGUUCGUUAAAAGAGUUAUGCGAGCUUAUACUCGCAGAGACUCUGACUUUAUCUGAUGCGGCCAAGGUUGAGGAUAUUGCAUCCAGAACUAGAUCAGAUGCUUUGGCUCGCCUCUGCGUGAGACUCAGGAAACAUAUGACGUUUCCUCUAGCAACGGUCUUCUCUUGUGACGUCUCCUCCGGCGACGGUCUCCUCUUGUGACGUCUCCUCUGGCGACAAUUUUCUCCUCCGACGUUCUCCUACGCAGCAAUCUCGUCCAUCGAGCUACAGUGCUGCGAGUUUCUCCUCCGGCGGCAGACUCGCGAGAUAAUGGUUUGAUUGGUUAAUUUGAUGGUGGAUUCUACUCUGCUUAUCUUAUUGUCGAGAAGAUUGUUGUUUCUACCAUUGAUCUGAUAAGCAAUAUGUAUGGGAAGCAGUUGCUGACAGUAACUAUGUGAUUACACUCUACUUAAAACUUUUGCCCUUGUGCUCCAAGCUCAUCUCUCUCUGCAUCUCCUCACUCUCCUCCAACUCUGUGCUGUUCGCAACAAGUGAGAACAGGUGGUCAGCACAACAAGAGGAAUAUUGUUUCUUCAGACAACUUUCCAGGACAACGGCGGACGACUUAUAGUUCAAGAUCACUGAAGCCUACUUAUACACGGUUUCCAUUUAGUACGAGAGCAUGUUCUGCUCAGACUGCAACUUUUAUAUGUGCUACAGCUUUGUGGGGUUGCAUUCCAGAGGCUGGAAGAUGCCCUGAGAGGAGUGAGCAUUGUGUGGAGCAGCAUAUUGAUGCAUACUUUGAUUACCAGCUUCCCAUGAUUGCUGCCUAUAUUGAUUCUUUGAAUUGAUUUCAUCCAGCUAUUUAACAAACUGUAACCAUGAAUUUCAUCGUCAUCUUCUGUAAAAGAUAGAUUAUUAGUGUGGACAAUGGUAUGAAUUAAGUUACCUUCAUUUAUUUGAGUAAAUAAGUAAUUUACUUUAUUUAAAUAAAAAAGGGCCAAAAAUGUUUAUUUUCUUUUCCAUAAUUUUGUAAGCAAUUAGAUCAUUCCAUGAAACAAUUCUUUUCUAAUCAAGGCCAAUGGCCCGUAUCACAAACAUUAUUUUUUGGCAGGUAAAUAAUUACAGUGAGCUUAGGACAAAUACACUCUCGUUAGACCAAAUAAUUAAUCUUUCCAAUGACCUCAUAUUACACCACAUGUUAAUAAUGCUAUUGACCAAUCAAACCAUAUUCAUGCUUAGCUACUAACACCUAUGCUACCAGAGAAGUCACCUAUUUAUGAUCAACUAUUUGUAAUUAUAUGAAAGCUUUAAAACAUGAUCACAAAUUAUGCAACAUAAUCAAAACGUGCUGUCAUACUUUGUUACUUGUUUUCUAAGUAUAUUGAUAUUGUUAGUCAAGCAUACAUAUUAGGUAAUAUAAGAAGAGUAGUUAGCUAUAUAGCUCAGUUCCAGGAGUAGAAAAAGAAUUCACCAAAAUGGAACAGUCUGGGUAUGGAGGUAUGGCAAAGAUAAAAAAUGGAAUGGCUGUAACAGGUAUCUCUCUCUUUCGUUUAGAAGAAAAAAGAAAAGAAAAGAUAGGGUGGCUAAUACUAUUAUAAAUAACUGGUGAAGGAACAGUGACGGUAAGCAAUUAAGCACAAUCUCCUUUAAGAUUUUUACACUUACUAUGGAAAUUGUAAGUACACAAUUCUGCUCCUCACUGCUUCUUCGCCAGCGGCCUCCGAUGCACGCCUCGUUUCAGUAACAGAGUGUGGUUAAAAACCCAAACUCUGCUGCCCAAUUUUUCCCAAUAGAAUACAGAAGCGUGCUCGCUACCGUCAGUUUGAGGAGUAGGGACGUUGCAAGCUUAUGAUUCAGAGAGAAGUACUCCAUAUCUAACUCCGAUGACCCACCCGAGCACUCAAGCUUAUGAUUCGGAGAGAAGUACUCCACAUCUAACUCUGAUGACCUAUCUAACACCGAUGACCCACCUGAGCGCUCAAUCUUCUCAGUAUGGGUUCCGUUUAUCAAGAAUUAGCUUAUAUAUUUGGGAAUGUUGGUGAAUCAUCAAGAAAAUGGAUCCAAGGAUGCGAGGUUUCAUUCUACUGGUUUCUGCAGUAGUCGUGUUGGAACUACUGCAUUUUAUUAGCCUUCCUAAAUUUGACAAAAAUAAGGUUCUCAAUUUUCAGGAAGGUUUUGCUAUGUCUUUUACUUCGAUGGUACCGAUUUCUGUAGUGUCUUGGAGCUUUAUUAUAAAUUUAAUUUUAAUAAAACGAAUUUAUCCUAUGCUCCAAUGUUUGGAGCUAAUAUUUUGGGCAUUAGCCCCUUUGCAUGUAAUUUCUGAUUUGGUACAUAGAACUGAGAAAAGUUGGGUAACAGUGAAUUCGUAUACCAUACCAAUGUUAUGGUUUACGAUCUUAGGAGGCGUUUUGA
Arachis ipaensis is the source of this 3067-nucleotide non-coding RNA. The record is from RefSeq and is a predicted model, not a curated record. NCBI's taxonomy places the organism in Eukaryota, Viridiplantae, Streptophyta, Magnoliopsida, Fabales, Fabaceae.